This 497-nucleotide ribosomal RNA is filed under the name uncultured bacterium. Its description in RNAcentral is "partial 16S ribosomal RNA". It matches the Rfam family "Bacterial small subunit ribosomal RNA", at positions 28 to 507 of the family's 1533-position model. The record is from RNAcentral.
GAUGAACGCUGGCGGCGUGCCUAAUACAUGCAAGUCGAGCGAACAGACGAGGAGCUUGCUCCUCUUACGUUAGCGGCGGACGGGUGAGUAACACGUGGAUAACCUACCUAUAAGACUGGGAUAACUUCGGGAAACCGGAUCUAAUACCGGAUAAUAUAUUGAACCGCAUGGUUCAUUAGUGAAAGACGGUUUUGCUGUCACUUAUAGAUGUAUCCGCGCCGCAUUAGCUAGUUGGUAAGGUAACGGCUUACCAAGGCGACGAUGCGUAGCCGACCUGAGAGGGUGAUCAGCCACACUGGAACUGAGACACGGUCCAGACUCCUACGGGAGGCAGCAGUAGGGAAUCUUCCGCAAUGGGCGAAAGCCUGACGGAGCAACGCCGCGUGAGUGAUGAAGGUCUUCGGAUCGUAAAACACUGUUAUUAGGGAAGAACAAAUGUGUAAGUAACUAUGCACGUCUUGACGGUACCUAAUCAGAAAGCCACGGCUAACUACGUG